Molecule: ribosomal RNA, 1340 nt
Filed under: Chryseobacterium indologenes
Lineage: Bacteria; Pseudomonadati; Bacteroidota; Flavobacteriia; Flavobacteriales; Weeksellaceae
Description: bacterial SSU rRNA
Rfam family: Bacterial small subunit ribosomal RNA
Source: RNAcentral
AGCGGCGUACGGGUGCGGAACACGUGUGCAACCUGCCUUUAUCUGGGGGAUAGCCUUUCGAAAGGAAGAUUAAUACCCCAUAAUAUAUUUGUUGGCAUCAGCGAAUAUUGAAAACUCCGGUGGAUAGAGAUGGGCACGCGCAAGAUUAGAUAGUUGGUGAGGUAACGGCUCACCAAGUCUGCGAUCUUUAGGGGGCCUGAGAGGGUGAUCCCCCACACUGGUACUGAGACACGGACCAGACUCCUACGGGAGGCAGCAGUGAGGAAUAUUGGACAAUGGGUGAGAGCCUGAUCCAGCCAUCCCGCGUGAAGGACGACGGCCCUAUGGGUUGUAAACUUCUUUUGUAUAGGGAUAAACCUACUCUCGUGAGAGUAGCUGAAGGUACUAUACGAAUAAGCACCGGCUAACUCCGUGCCAGCAGCCGCGGUAAUACGGAGGGUGCAAGCGUUAUCCGGAUUUAUUGGGUUUAAAGGGUCCGUAGGCGGAUCUGUAAGUCAGUGGUGAAAUCUCACAGCUUAACUGUGAAACUGCCAUUGAUACUGCAGGUCUUGAGUGUUAUUGAAGUAGCUGGAAUAAGUAGUGUAGCGGUGAAAUGCAUAGAUAUUACUUAGAACACCAAUUGCGAAGGCAGGUUACUAAGCAACAACUGACGCUGAUGGACGAAAGCGUGGGGAGCGAACAGGAUUAGAUACCCUGGUAGUCCACGCCGUAAACGAUGCUAACUCGUUUUUGGGCUUUCGGGUUCAGAGACUAAGCGAAAGUGAUAAGUUAGCCACCUGGGGAGUACGAACGCAAGUUUGAAACUCAAAGGAAUUGACGGGGGCCCGCACAAGCGGUGGAUUAUGUGGUUUAAUUCGAUGAUACGCGAGGAACCUUACCAAGGCUUAAAUGGGAAAUGACAGGUUUAGAAAUAGACUUUUCUUCGGACAUUUUUCAAGGUGCUGCAUGGUUGUCGUCAGCUCGUGCCGUGAGGUGUUAGGUUAAGUCCUGCAACGAGCGCAACCCCUGUCACUAGUUGCCAUCAUUAAGUUGGGGACUCUAGUGAGACUGCCUACGCAAGUAGAGAGGAAGGUGGGGAUGACGUCAAAUCAUCACGGCCCUUACGCCUUGGGCCACACACGUAAUACAAUGGCCGGUACAGAGGGCAGCUACACAGCGAUGUGAUGCAAAUCUCGAAAGCCGGUCUCAGUUCGGAUUGGAGUCUGCAACUCGACUCUAUGAAGCUGGAAUCGCUAGUAAUCGCGCAUCAGCCAUGGCGCGGUGAAUACGUUCCCGGGCCUUGUACACACCGCCCGUCAAGCCAUGGAAGUCUGGGGUACCUGAAGUCGGUGACCGUAAUA